AACCCCCAUUCAGUGUUAAUCCCAACACUCGUCACCAACAUAGUGCCACUACCAUCAGCCACUUUACAGCCCGACAUUAGAAAUGGUUCCCGGGAAUUCUUGUGAACAAUCUUGCUUUCUCCAGUCAUGCUAGAUUCAUCAAUUGCAAGAGAGUGACCAAUAAUUAAAAUUCCAUCAGCAGGUACUUGGUCACCAAUAUUGAGGGGAACAACAUCUCCAACAACAAGAUCAUAUAUUGAAACAUCAACUCUUUUACCCCCUCUAAUAACCUCCAUAUGUAUGUUUCUCUUCUCCUCAUUUAGAUUUUGGAACUGAAGGGAUUGUUUGUAAUCACUUACAGCUGUCACAACAAUGACAAGAAUAACCGCAAAAGCAAUGCUGGUCCCAUCAUACCAUCCCUCCUUAAUACCCUCUGUCUUUAUACCCAGUACCAAAGAAGCCACAGCAGCCACCAUCAAUAUGAU
This 464-nucleotide unclassified non-coding RNA is filed under the name Hevea brasiliensis (rubber tree). The record is from RNAcentral. Lineage: Eukaryota; Viridiplantae; Streptophyta; Magnoliopsida; Malpighiales; Euphorbiaceae.